RNAcentral lists this small RNA (132 nucleotides) under Pseudomonas aeruginosa. RNAcentral describes it as "RtT sRNA". It matches the Rfam family "RtT RNA". Rfam says of the family: This family represents a bacterial cis-regulatory element known as RtT RNA. The exact function of RtT is unknown although it is thought that it may be involved in changing the cellular response in relation to amino acid starvation. The record is from RNAcentral. RNAcentral also lists the same sequence under 6 other names. Lineage: Bacteria; Pseudomonadati; Pseudomonadota; Gammaproteobacteria; Pseudomonadales; Pseudomonadaceae.
UAUUCUGCCCCACGGGGAAGGAUGAGAAGCUUCGACUAAGGUUCGACUCGAGCGAAGCGAGAGAACGUUGCCGUAGGCAACGGCCCGAAGGGCGAAGCGCUUUAGCGCCGAGUAAUCCUUCCCCCACCACUG